UACGUAUGGUGCAAGCGUUAUCCGGAUUUACUGGGUGUAAAGGGAGCGCAGGCGGCACGGCAAGCCUGAUGUGAAAGCCCGCGGCCCAACCGCGGGAUUGCAUUGGGAACUACCGGGCUGGAGUGCCGGAGAGGUAGGCGGAAUUCCUAGUGUAGCGGUGAAAUGCGUAGAUAUUAGGAGGAACACCAGUGGCGAAGGCGGCCUACUGGACGGUGACUGACGCUGAGGCUCGAAAGCGUGGGGAGCAAACAGG
Molecule: ribosomal RNA, 253 nt
Filed under: uncultured bacterium
Lineage: Bacteria
Description: partial 16S ribosomal RNA
Rfam family: Bacterial small subunit ribosomal RNA
Source: RNAcentral